UACGUAGGGGGCUAGCGUUAUCCGGAAUUACUGGGCGUAAAGGGUGCGUAGGUGGUUUCUUAAGUCAGAGGUGAAAGGCUACGGCUCAACCGUAGUAAGCCUUUGAAUCUGGGGAACUUGAGUGCAGGAGAGGAGAGUGGAAUUCCUAGUGUAGCGGUGAAAUGCGUAGAUAUUAGGAGGAACACCAGUUGCGAAGGCGGCUCUCUGGACUGUAACUGACACUGAGGCACGAAAGCGUGGAGAGCAAACAGG
RNAcentral lists this ribosomal RNA (252 nucleotides) under uncultured bacterium. Its description in RNAcentral is "partial 16S ribosomal RNA". It matches the Rfam family "Bacterial small subunit ribosomal RNA", at positions 524 to 776 of the family's 1533-position model. The record is from RNAcentral.